Long non-coding RNA from Monodelphis domestica (gray short-tailed opossum), 4461 nucleotides. RefSeq lists it as uncharacterized. NCBI's taxonomy places the organism in Eukaryota, Metazoa, Chordata, Mammalia, Didelphimorphia, Didelphidae. The record is from RefSeq and is a predicted model, not a curated record.
UCCCCAUCCCCCCCCAGCUUCUUUCUUUUCAUGUGUUAGAGAUAGAGCUCCCACAGUGGAAAGGAAAAAGAAGAUUGCAUGCCAUGGAAAGGAAGAAGAGACUCACUUAGGCCUUUGGUUUCCCUUUCUUCUCAGGCUGACCAGGAGGAUUGGAAGUUCUAAGAAAACACUUCUCUCCAUCUCUCUGAUCAGUUUUCCAUCAGAUGAUGCUCAGUCCUCUCAAGCUGACUGCUUCUAGUAGGAGAAAAGGAAAAACAACCAGCAGGAGGAAAGAAUUCAAGACCACAGGCUCAUUCUUGGCUACCUAGUCCAAGAUCUCUUGCUAUGGAACUCUUCUUCUAGGAUGGUUGGCAGAGUCUGAUGUGCAUUUUUUUGACUAUCCUCAGGGGUAACCAAACUUCAUGCUUCUUGGAGAGGAUUUGAUUUUUGAAAAUUGACCUUAAGGUCAACUGGAGCUAAAUGGGUCAUUUAGAGCUGUCUGUAUACCAAUACCUAGACUUCCUGAGACUGGUCAACUCUAAUGGCUCCACUCUUGGGAGUAGGAGAUCUUCCCUUCAUUCACCAAUGGAUAGCCAGAAGAUGGACCAGUAAAACAUUCUGGCACAGAUGGAAGCCACAGAUUUGUUCCUUCCUUGACCAACUCUCAUUUUUCAGUGCCUAAUUCCUAAGAAGAGCAGGAUAUUCCCUGGCAUAUGGAUGCUGCCCCCCUAAAUUCCUUCCUUCUCUGUAGAUAUCACAGAAUCCUCCUCAACUCUUUUAAAUCCACUAUCCUUUUGGUUGGGAACAAUCUGCUCUGCUAUUACUCUCCAAGAUUCUCUGGGCUUUGCCAUUUAUCCUGCUACUUUUCCUGCAUAAGUAUUACUUCACCUUUCUAUCUGCCAUUAAAUGAACAUAAAAAUGAAUUCCCUAUCUUGUAUAUGUUAUUUCCCCCAUCAGGGAAUGUUUUGAUUUUCUAUUUGUAUCCUCAGCACUUAGCACAGUGUUUAAAUGAGUGAAUAAAAAAAGUAUAUAUUAAUCAAUUACUAUGUACCAAAGAUUGUGCUAAACCCUGGGGUUACAAAUAGAAAAAUUGAGACAAUCUCUGAUCUCAAGGAGUUAAAUUCUAAUUUCAGUAGACAACAUAUAAAAUAAAGUACAGUUGCCUAGAAGACAGAAAGGCCCCAAAUUCCUAAAGGUGUAGCAAUAGGAUAGCAAGACCCAGGGGUUCCUUAGGUUACAUAGACAGGUCAGAUGACAGUGUUGGAAGACUGUAAGACAUGGUAAGGCUUGAAGUACCUUUGGAGUCAGUGGCAUCAAAGAUGGUAAAGUUUAGUUUUCUAUUAUCCCAUUGAAGCAAGUAGAAUUGUUGAUUCCCAACUUAUCUUAGCUCUGUGAAUUGUCAAAUAGCUCUAGCUAAGGGGAAGACAAGAGAUAAGGGCAACUUUGUUGAUGGGUUAUCAGAUGGGCUGUGGCAGGGUGUAAAAUCUGAACUAAUAUCCGAUAAUUACAACUAUUACAUUUUAUAAGAUUUAUUAAUAAUCACUUGAAGUAGAAGAUAUAAAAGAACAAAAAUAUAAAACUUAAAUUUGACCAUGUGAGUAAACCUCUCCUGCCUGACUCUCCUCCAACCUCCACAAACCCAUUUCUGGGGGAGAGAGGAAGAAGGGGGAGCUACACAAAAAUAUAUCCUCCCUUCAUUAGCACAUAACAUGAGAAGGAACAUGGGAAGCUGGGAAAGAGAGUUCUGGGGAGCAAAAUUCCAAUUAUUAGGCAAGGGAGGGAGAUAAGGGAGAAAAGACACCCAAAGCUUAUAAACAAGGCUCCUUUUCACCAUGCUGUUAGAGACUCUGGAGUCCUUGUAGGGAAUGCAUUAGCCAUGAAUGUUAUAUAUUCUAAACUCUUCCCUACCUCCCCUCCCUCUAUUACACAGGUGCUUAAUACUUUUCCUUCCAAGAAAAGUUCAAGCUUAAUGGUUUUGAGUAAUGAUAACCUUAUAGGGUAAUUAUAGAUCUUCUCAGGACAGUUUUAAGGAAAGAGUAAUUUAGGUGAAUAAAGUUUCCAAUGUCCGUUAAAAUUGUCUUUAUAAUCACAUCAUAGUAGGUACUUAAAUUGGAUGGAAUAUAGGCGAUUGGACCAUGAGACUGAGAUCAAGUUCUUGGAUUUUGGUUAUGGCAAAGUAUGCCAUUUUGUAAGUGAGUUUGGGGUUUCUCUAGAGUUAUAGGGUGAUAUUUGAAGGGGCAGGAGUUGGCAUCAUUUGCCUGCUUGCUCUGAUUCCAUCCAAAGGCGGGACUCAAGGCACAGGGUGAAUGGGAGACUCCUGUGAUAUCUACUGAGAACUUUUGGUUCCUUCUGGGGCAGAAUUGAACAACAGGUUCAGCAGCAAUGAGGGGAAAAUAAUAAAAGCUGCAAAGGACAAGCUCAUUGAAGGUACUCAUACAAAGUUAAAAAGAAGAAAACAGGUUUUAAAUACAAAGUUUUCAAGGGACAAAAGCAAAGGAAUAUUUAUCUGUGUGGCACAGGAGAGGGCAGAAACAGAAAAUUCAGACCCCAAGCUGGUGUCAGUAAACUAGAAACAGAUAAUAGAAGGGUCAGGAUUUAUGCAAAGAACCUGUUAUAUUUAUCAUCAGGGACCUUGGCAGGAAUCUUCUGAUUGAUGUCUAACAAUUGUGUCCCUGAAAAAAUAUACGUACAAUAAACUUUUUUAUAUUUUUAUUUUCUUUUCCUCUCCUCCUCCCACUCCCCCUCUCAUAGCCAAUGAGCAACUCCACUGGAUUUUACAUGUGUCAUUGAUCAAGACUUAUUUCCAUAUUGUUAAUAUUUGCAUUAGGGUGAUGGCUUAGAGUCUAAAUCCCCAAUCAUAUCCCUAUUGACUCAUGUGAUCAGGCAGUUGUUUUUCUUCUGUGUUUCUACUCCCACAGUUUUUUUUUUUUCUGGAUGUGGAUAGCUUUUAGUGUUCUUCCUCAUAAGUCCCUCAGAAUUGUCCUGGAUCAUUGCAUUACUGCUAGUAGAGAAGUCCAUUACAUUCGAUUGUACCACAGUGUAUCAGUCUCUGUUUACAGUGUUCUCCUGGUUCUGCUCUUUUCACUUUGCAUCAAUUCCUGGAGGUCAUUCUAGUUCACAUGGAAUUCCUCCAGUUCAUUACUCCUUUCAGCACAAUAGUAUUCCAUCACCAACAGAUACUACAAUUGCACAAUAUACUUUUAAGUUUAAUUGGCAUUAACAUUUUCUUCAACAUUUUUAAAAGCCUAGAUAAUCAUAAAAACAAUAAUUCAAAUUCUGAUUUUUUCACUGUUUGCUAUUGCCUAGGUUUAAUGCUCACACUGAAAACUUCUGGACCUGUGAAUGGCAUUCUAUGGGCUUUAAAAGGAGUGUUAUGAGGAGCUAGCUAUGAACUGGCUCUCACAAGGGCCCUAGCUCACUUCUACAUCCUCUUAAAAGGACAAUGGCUAUGUUAGGAUGUUGGGUUCUCAAAGUUCACAUGAGGAAAAAAAAAUUAACAGUAGCAACAGGGGGUUGAGGAAGAGGGAAAGUAGAGAAAGGACUUUGUAUCUCUGAUUUCAUUAGCUUUUUUGAAUUGCUACACUUUAGUGAAGGGGUCAGAGAUGUUAGAUCUAAAGGUGGGGUGGGGGAGCCUUAUAGGGAAGUUAGGCAUAUGCAUUUGGAGGAGGGCUUUGGGUUUUGACUAGUUGCUACAAUUACAAUUGUAUCCUCCUAUCUAUUAGAAAAGCAAUCAGGCCAAUAGGUACCUGGACUAGUCAAUUUUUAUCUCCAUGGCAGCUAGGGUAAUCUCAAAGAUCCUAGACCUCCAUGGAAGCUAGAAUAACCCCAGGGAUUCUAGAUAGACCUCCAUAGCAGUUAGAGUAAGCCCCAGGGAUCAUAGACCUCCAAACUUUACUCUAGCUGUCAUGGAGGUGAAAAUUGACUAGUUCAUAUGACAGUAGCUAAGAUCUAUGUGACACACUUAGGAGCCUUUUGGUCUCCACAUGGACUAAAGGUUUUAGAGAACAGCAUAGAGAGACAUCAGAGAGAUAGAAGGUGAGGCCAUGAGUCACCUACACUCAUAUAUCCAACUGUAGGUGGGGGGGCAGUUUUUCAAUAGUUCUUUGCAAAAUGGUGAAUGCUUAGUGUUAUGCUCUGCAUUUCAGGAUGAAGUCAUGGAGAAUUGUUGGAGUGUUGGUUGAGGAAGAAUGCAGUUGUUUAGAUCCUGACAGGUUUCCUGGGGCUGUAAGAACAUGACCUUUUAUUGCUUCUCUGCUUCCUUCUCUCCACUUUUUCUCCUUCCUUUUUACUGCUUCUAUUUUCUCCCUUUUUUGCUUAUAUUUUCCUCUCUUUCUAAAUCUGUCUCUCAUGCUAUCAUCUUUCCUUUCGUCAUCUUUUAAUAAAAACAGGAGAAAUGGUUGCAGGCUGGUAUGAGAACUGUGAGAUGGUAUAGAAUUUCAAUGGAUCAUUUAGAAUUUGAAAGCAGGAGGCAAUGGUCUCCAU